Molecule: long non-coding RNA, 399 nt
Filed under: Salmo salar (Atlantic salmon)
Lineage: Eukaryota; Metazoa; Chordata; Actinopteri; Salmoniformes; Salmonidae
Description: lncRNA (ENSSSAG00000081947.1)
Source: RNAcentral
GAGGAACAGAGAGAGUAGAACAGGAUGAGACAGGGAGGAACAGAGAGAGUAGAACAGGAUUAGACAGGGAGGAACAGAGAGAGAGAGUAGAACAGGAUUAGACAGGGAGGAACAGAGAGAGUAGAACAGGAUGAGACAGGGAGGAACAGAGAGAGUAGAACAGGAUUAGACAGGGAGGAACAGAGAGAGUAGAACAGGAUUAGACAGGGAGGAACAGAGAGAGUAGAACAGGAUGAGACAGGGAGGAACAGAGAGAGAGUAGAACAGGAUGGACAGGGGGGAACAGAGAGAGUAGAACAGGAUAGAACAGGGAGGAACAGAGAGAGUAGAACAGGAUGGAACAGGGAGGAAUAUAUAUUUUUAAAGCUUAUAAGCCAUUAACAACUUUUUGACAGCCCU